This 475-nucleotide ribosomal RNA is filed under the name uncultured bacterium. Its description in RNAcentral is "bacterial SSU rRNA". It matches the Rfam family "Bacterial small subunit ribosomal RNA", at positions 29 to 526 of the family's 1533-position model. The record is from RNAcentral.
AAUGAACGUUGGCGGCAUGGAUUAGGCAUGCAAGUCGCGCGACAAGCCAUUUUUAGCUUGCUAUUUGUGGUGGAGGAGCGGCGAAAGGGAGAGUAACGCGUGGAUCACCUACCCUGGGGUACGGAAUAGCGGCGGGAAACUGCCGGUAAUGCCGUAUGACGUCUCCGGACCAAAGCCCCGGCGCCCUGGGACGGGUCCGCGUACCAUUAGCUAGUUGGUGGGGUAAAAGCCUACCAAGGCUCAGAUGGUUAGUGGGCGUGAGAGCGUGGCCCACCUCACUGGGACUGAGACACUGCCCAGACACCUACGGGUGGCUGCAGUCGAGAAUCUUUGUCAAUGGACGAAAGUCUGAACAAGCGAUGCCGCGUGCGGGAUGAAGGCCUUCGGGUUGUAAACCGCUGUCAGAGGGGAGCAAAUUUUGAGCGAUCCUCAGAGGAAGCCCGGGCUAAGUUCGUGCCAGCCGCCGCCGUAACAC